GGGCCAAUGGCGCAGUGGUAGCGCGUUCGCUUUGCAUCAUAUGCGAAGCUGCGAAAGGUCUGGGGUUCGAUCCCCCAUUGGUCCA
Molecule: non-coding RNA, 85 nt
Organism: Didymella keratinophila
Lineage: Eukaryota; Fungi; Ascomycota; Dothideomycetes; Pleosporales; Didymellaceae
Source: the annotation of a GenBank genome assembly